AUAAUGCGUGCACACACCCAUACCCACACACACACACAUACACACAUAUAAAAUAAAUAAAAUUAGCUGGGCAUGGUAGUGUGCACCGUUAGUCCCAGCUACUUGGAAGGCUGAGGUGGAAGGAUUACUUGAGCCCAGGAGUUUGAGACCAGCCUCGGUUAUACAGCAAGACCCCCAUCUCAAAAAAGGUAAAUAUUCAGGAGUUCUCACUACCCAUCUCUAGCCACAGUUAACAUUUUGAUGUAUAUUUAUCAAAUAAGAGUGAGAUCAUAGUUUUUUCCCUGAUUUUUUUCACUUCAUAAAGAAUCAAAUUUCUCUGUUACUUAGUAUUAUUUUAUAGAAAUACUUAAAAUGUAUCAUUUACUAGUUUUUUUAAGUACAGAGAUGUAUCAAGAUGUGUAAGAAGGCAAGUAGUCCAUAAUCUCAUGCAGCAAUAUUUUAAUAUAUUCCAUUUUAUAAAUGUACUAUAAUUAGCUCCUUGUUUUUGGACAUUUGGGUUGUUUCUGAUUUUUUUGCUACUUUAAAGUGUGCUGUAGUAAACAUCUUUGCAUGUUUCUAUGAUUGUUUUUUUAGGAUAAAUUCCUGGAAGUGGAAUUGCUGGGUUAAAUGUGUGCAAUCAUCCAGUCAUAUAAUGAAGACACUUUACCUUGUGCGUCUAAUGCUAGUGUUGGCACCUGUUAUGUGCAUUCUCUCUGGCAUUGGAGUCUCCCAGGUGCUGUCCACAUACAUGAAGAAUCUGGACAUAAGUCGUCCAGACAAGAAGAGCAAGAAGCAACAGGAUUCCACCUACCCUAUUAAGAAUGAAGUGGCAAGUGGGAUGAUACUGGUCAUGGCUUUCUUUCUCAUCACCUACACCUUUCAUUCAACCUGGGUGACCAGUGAGGCCUACUCUUCUCCAUCCAUUGUACUAUCUGCCCGUGGUGGGGAUGGCAGUAGGAUCAUAUUUGAUGACUUCCG
RNAcentral lists this small RNA (957 nucleotides) under Pongo abelii (Sumatran orangutan). RNAcentral's name for it is "retained intron". The record is from RNAcentral. Lineage: Eukaryota; Metazoa; Chordata; Mammalia; Primates; Hominidae.